Molecule: ribosomal RNA, 440 nt
Filed under: uncultured bacterium
Lineage: Bacteria
Description: partial 16S ribosomal RNA
Rfam family: Bacterial small subunit ribosomal RNA
Source: RNAcentral
CCUACGGGUGGCAGCAGUGGGGAAUAUUGCACAAUGGGGGAAACCCUGAUGCAGCGACGCCGCGUGAGUGAAGAAGUAUUUCGGUACGUAAAGCUCUAUCAGCAGGGAAGAAAAUGACGAUGCUUGACUACUAAGCCGCCGCGAACUACGGCACAGCAGCCGCCGUAAUACGUCGGGGGCAAGCGUUAUCCUGAUGUACUGGGUGGAAAGAGGGCGUAGACGGCAGUGUAAGUCUGAAGUGAAAUACCAUGGGUUAACUAUGGAACUGCUUUGGAUACUGUGCAGCUGGAGUGCCGGAGAGGUAAGCGGAAUUCCUAGUGUAGCGGUGAAAUGCGUAGAUAUCAGGAGGAAUACCAGUGGCGAAGGCGGCUUACUGGCCUGUAACUGACGUUGAGGUUCGAAAGCGUGGGGAGCAAACAGGAUUAGAUACCCGGGUAGUC